GAUCCUGGCUCAGGAUGAACGCUAGCUACAGGCUUAACACAUGCAAGUCGAGGGGAAACGACAUCGAAAGCUUGCUUUUGAUGGGCGUCGACCGGCGCACGGGUGAGUAACGCGUAUCCAACCUGCCCAUCACUUGGGAAUAACCUUGCGAAAGUAAGACUAAUACCCAACUGAUAUCCCACCGAAGACAUCUGAAUGGGAGUUAAAAGAAUUUAAUUCGGUGGAUGGAUGGGGAGUGCGUCUGAUUAG
RNAcentral lists this ribosomal RNA (249 nucleotides) under uncultured bacterium. RNAcentral describes it as "partial 16S ribosomal RNA". It matches the Rfam family "Bacterial small subunit ribosomal RNA", at positions 15 to 244 of the family's 1533-position model. The record is from RNAcentral.